GCCGGAGUGAUGAAAUUGGUAACCAUGCGCGACUCAAAAUCGCGUGCCGCAAGGCUUGGGAGUUCGACUCUCCCCUCCGGCA
RNAcentral lists this transfer RNA (82 nucleotides) under Candidatus Nomurabacteria bacterium RIFCSPLOWO2_01_FULL_42_20. Its description in RNAcentral is "tRNA-Leu". It matches the Rfam family "tRNA". Rfam says of the family: Transfer RNA (tRNA) molecules are approximately 80 nucleotides in length. The record is from RNAcentral. Lineage: Bacteria; Candidatus Nomuraibacteriota.